Molecule: ribosomal RNA, 1225 nt
Filed under: Xylariaceae sp. 4Y-Aj5-2
Lineage: Eukaryota; Fungi; Ascomycota; Sordariomycetes; Xylariales; Xylariaceae
Description: eukaryotic LSU rRNA
Rfam family: Eukaryotic large subunit ribosomal RNA (bases 636-1225)
Source: RNAcentral
UUACUGAGUUAUCAAAACUCCAACCCUAUGUGAACCUACCUCUGUUUCCUCCGGCGUACCGCGCCAGCGCCUAUCCGUAGGGCCCCCUUUAGGGGGGGCUUGCCGGUAAGGUACCUGAGCGCCGCCUACCCCUCGGGGCACGGCGGCGCGAUUACGGUACCGACGUAGGCCUGCGCGGCGCCGAGUAGGACCUUCUCGAACUAUAGCACCCUGUGCAUCCAACCCUUCUUAGAAGGGUCUGAAUCGCCUCAUAAACCUGUGCUGCCCCUAACCGGGUGGUAACUAAACUAAAGUUUUUAACUAAAUACUUUAAAACUUUCAACAACGGAUCUCUUGGUUCUGGCAUCGAUGAAGAACGCAGCGAAAUGCGAUAAGUAAUGUGAAUUGCAGAAUUCAGUGAAUCAUCGAAUCUUUGAACGCACAUUGCGCCCAUUAGUAUUCUAGUGGGCAUGCCUAUUCGAGCGUCAUUACAACCCUUAAGCCCUGUAGCUUAGCGUUGGGAGUCUACGCCCCCCAGGGGCGUAGUUCCUCAAAUACAGUGGCGGAGUUACAGCACACCCCAAGCGCAGUAGUUUAGCUCGCUUCCAGGGAGGCUGUGGCUGCUUGCCGUAAAAACCCCCUAUACUGAUAGUGGUUGACCUCGGAUUAGGUAGGAAUACCCGCUGAACUUAAGCAUAUCAAUAAGCGGAGGAAAAGAAACCAACAGGGAUUGCCCUAGUAACGGCGAGUGAAGCGGCAAAAGCUCAAAUUUGAAAUCUGGCCCUAGCGGUCCGAGUUGUAAUUUGCAGAGGAUGCUUUUGGUGCGGUGCCUUCCGAGUUCCCUGGAACGGGACGCCAUAGAGGGUGAGAGCCCCGUACGGUUGGACGCCUAGCCUCUAUAUAGCUCCUUCGACGAGUCGAGUAGUUUGGGAAUGCUGCUCUAAAUGGGAGGUAAAUUUCUUCUAAAGCUAAAUACCGGCCAGAGACCGAUAGCGCACAAGUAGAGUGAUCGAAAGAUGAAAAGCACUUUGAAAAGAGGGUUAAAUAGCACGUGAAAUUGUUGAAAGGGAAGCGUUUGCGACCAGACCUUCUCCAGGGGGAUCAACCGCUGUUCUCAGCGGUGCACUCCCCCUGGUCUAGGCCAGCAUCGGUUCUCUUAGGGGGAUAAAGGCCUGGGGAACGUAGCUCUUUAGGGAGUGUUAUAGCCCCUGGCGCAAUACCCUUCAGGGGACCGAGGACCGCGCUC